UACGUAGGGGGCUAGCGUGGUCCGGAAUCAUUGGGCGUAAAGAGCGUGUAGGCGGUCCGGUAAGUCCGCUGUGAAAGUCGGGGGCUCAACCCUCGAAUGCCGGUGGAUACUGUCGGGCUAGAGUGCGGAAGAGGCGAGUGGAAUUCCUGGUGUAGCGGUGAAAUGCGCAGAUAUCAGGAGGAACACCUAUUGCGAAGGCAGCUCGCUGGGACGUUACUGACGCUGAGACGCGAAAGCGUGGGGAGCGAACAGG
This 253-nucleotide ribosomal RNA is filed under the name uncultured bacterium. RNAcentral's name for it is "partial 16S ribosomal RNA". It matches the Rfam family "Bacterial small subunit ribosomal RNA", at positions 524 to 776 of the family's 1533-position model. The record is from RNAcentral.